AGAGUUUGAUCCUGGCUCAGAAUCAACGCUGGCGGCGUGCCUAACACAUGCAAGUCGAACGAGAAAGUCCGCAAGGAUGAGUAAAGUGGCGACCGGGUGAGUAACACGUGACUAACCUACCUUUUAGUGGGGGAUAACCCCGGGAAACCGGGGCUAAUACCGCAUAACAUCGCAAGAUCAAAGCAGCAAUGCGCUGGAAG
This 200-nucleotide ribosomal RNA is filed under the name uncultured bacterium. Its description in RNAcentral is "partial 16S ribosomal RNA". It matches the Rfam family "Bacterial small subunit ribosomal RNA", at positions 8 to 224 of the family's 1533-position model. The record is from RNAcentral.